Molecule: ribosomal RNA, 505 nt
Filed under: uncultured bacterium
Lineage: Bacteria
Description: bacterial SSU rRNA
Rfam family: Bacterial small subunit ribosomal RNA
Source: RNAcentral
CUGGUCAGGAUGAACGCUAGCGACAGGCCUAACACAUGCAAGUCGAGGGGCAGCACAAGGAGCAAUCUGAGGUGGCGACCGGCGCACGGGUGAGUAACACGUAUGCAACCUGCCUGUAAGCGGGGAAUAACCCGUUGAAAGACGGACUAAUACCGCAUAAUACUAAAUUACUGCAUGGUAAUUUAUUUAAACAUUUAUGGCUUACAGAUGGGCAUGCGCAUGAUUAGCUAGUUGGAGAGGUAACGGCUCCCCAAGGCAACGAUCAUUAGGGGUUCUGAGAGGAAGGUCCCCCCACACUGGUACUGAGACACGGACCAGACUCCUACGGGAGGCAGCAGUGAGGAAUAUUGGUCAAUGGACGAGAGUCUGAACCAGCCAAGUCGCGUGCAGGAAGAAUUGUCCUAUGGAUUGUAAACUGCUUUUGCAGGGGAAUAAAGUGCAUCACGUGUGAUGUUUUGUAUGUACUCUGCGAAUAAGGAUCGGCUAACUCCGUGCCAGCCGCCGC